ACCUCCUUUCUACGGAGUACAAUUGAAGUUAUCCAUACUUCAUAAAUAGUUAAUGGCCCAAUAUUCGUAUCCAGUUUUGAGAGAACUAUCUCUCAUUUAUUCUUUGAAAACUGAAUUAGACAUUGAAAAUUAAAAUAUUAAUAUUCAAAAAUUUAGAUCAACCUAUAGAAUAUUCAAAAAUAUAGAGACAAAUACAAAAACAAAACAAUAGGUCAAAAAUACUUAUACGUAAUUAAAAUAUAUAACUAUUAAAUAAGCAAGAGUUUUUGGUGGAUGCCUUGGGUCUGGAAGUCGAUGAAGGACGUGAUUACCUGCGAUAAGCUUCGUUUAGCUGGAAAUGAGCAUUUAGACGGAGAUUUCCGAAUGGGGAAACCUAAUUAGGGUAAUGCCUAAUUGUCAUAAUCGGUGAAUCCAUAGCCGAAUGACGAGACACGCUGUGAAUUGAAACAUCUCAGUAGCAGCAGGAAGAGAAAAUAAAGAAUGGUUCCCCUAGUAGUGGCGAGCGAACGGGGAAAAGCCUAAACCAACACUUGUU
This 535-nucleotide unclassified non-coding RNA is filed under the name Metamycoplasma orale. RNAcentral's name for it is "Mycoplasma orale partial contains 16S ribosomal RNA, 16S-23S ribosomal RNA intergenic spacer, and 23S ribosomal RNA". The stretch from base 247 to 535 matches the Rfam family "Bacterial large subunit ribosomal RNA", at positions 1 to 285 of the family's 2925-position model. The record is from RNAcentral. Lineage: Bacteria; Bacillati; Mycoplasmatota; Mycoplasmoidales; Metamycoplasmataceae.